UAACCGAAUAGGGGAGCCGAAGGGAAACCGAGUCUUAACUGGGCGUUAAGUUGCAGGGUAUAGACCCGAAACCCGGUGAUCUAGCCAUGGGCAGGUUGAAGGUUGGGUAACACUAACUGGAGGACCGAACCGACUAAUGUUGAAAAAUUAGCGGAUGACUUGUGGCUGGGGGUGAAAGGCCAAUCAAACCGGGAGAUAGCUGGUUCUCCCCGAAAGCUAUUUAGGUAGCGCCUCGUGAAUUCAUCUCCGGGGGUAGAGCACUGUUUCGGCAAGGGGGUCAUCCCGACUUACCAACCCGAUGCAAACUGCGAAUACCGGAGAAUGUUAUCACGGGAGACACACGGCGGGUGCUAACGUCCGUCGUGAAGAGGGAAACAACCCAGACCGCCAGCUAAGGUCCCAAAGUCAUGGUUAAGUGGGAAACGAUGUGGGAAGGCCCAGACAGCCAGGAUGUUGGCUUAGAAGCAGCCAUCAUUUAAAGAAAGCGUAAUAGCUCACUGGUCGAGUCGGCCUGCGCGGAAGAUGUAACGGGGCUAAACCAUGCAC
This 546-nucleotide ribosomal RNA is filed under the name Escherichia coli. RNAcentral describes it as "bacterial LSU rRNA". It matches the Rfam family "Bacterial large subunit ribosomal RNA", at positions 647 to 1194 of the family's 2925-position model. The record is from RNAcentral. Lineage: Bacteria; Pseudomonadati; Pseudomonadota; Gammaproteobacteria; Enterobacterales; Enterobacteriaceae.